Patella vulgata (common limpet) is the source of this 600-nucleotide long non-coding RNA. RefSeq lists it as uncharacterized. Lineage: Eukaryota; Metazoa; Mollusca; Gastropoda; Patellidae. The record is from RefSeq and is a predicted model, not a curated record. The transcript is spliced from 2 exons.
AAUCUGCUGAGGACUUGUGACGCCCCUUAUAUUAUUAGCCUUAAAUACGUACUUGUGCGAUGUGGAUAACAACAGGAAUCUUCGAAACAAGUACCCCAUACAAACAUUGACGUAGAGUCAUUUAUAGUGAUUGACAGCCUAAUGGAGAAGCCCUUUCGCUGUAGUGGACCUGAUUGUUACACAAUCUAAUUAAAAUUAUAACCAUAAGGCUACAUUACUCAGCUCGACUAUUUACAUAGAUAUAUAAAUAUUAAUAAAAGACGGAUGACCAUUCAAACCAAUGUGAUGUUGAGUACAAACUGAAAGUCAUGUUAGACGGCUGAUAACUUCUUGGUUGGAUUUGGGGGCUAAUUUUAUGGUAACGAAUUAUUCUCCGCUUUUGAAUAUUUAUUCUUUUUAUGUGAUUUUUAUACUAGGAUAGUUCAAAAAUAAAAGACUUUGUUGGCCUACUGAUAUUCCUUUAAUGUUGGGGGGCUAUUGUUUGCUAGGUCAAGGAUCCUUAUUAAUACGUCGUAUAUAUCAAAAGUUCUCUGUUAUUGGAAUAUUUAUUCUGUGCGAAUGAAUUUCUACCAUGUUAAUAAAAGAAUGGGCAAUAAAUAA